AUUGAACGCUGGCGGCAGGCCUAACACAUGCAAGUCGAACGAGUGGCGGACGGGUGGGUAAUGUCGGGGAAACUGCCUGAUGGAGGGGGAAAACCACUGGAAACGGUAGCUAAUACCGCAUACCCUCGGAUGUGCCCAGAUGGGAUUAGCGAGUAGGUGGGGUAAAGGCUCACCUAGGCGACGAUCCCUAGCUGGUCUGAGAGGAUGAUCAGCCACACUGGAACUGAGACACGGCCCAGACUCCUACGGGAGGCAGCAGUGGGGAAUAUUGCACAAUGGGCGCAAGCCUGAUGCAGCCAUGCCGCGUGUAUGAAGAAGGCCUUCGGGUUGUAAAGGACUUUCAGCGGGGAGGCGUUACCCACAGAAGAAGCACCGGCUAACUCCGUGCCAGCCGCCGCGGUAAUAC
This 406-nucleotide ribosomal RNA is filed under the name uncultured bacterium. Its description in RNAcentral is "partial 16S ribosomal RNA". It matches the Rfam family "Bacterial small subunit ribosomal RNA", at positions 29 to 526 of the family's 1533-position model. The record is from RNAcentral.